ACUCAAUGUCAAUUUAUUUCAUUUCUGUGGCCGGAGGAAAGUCCAUCCAUGUAACCCUAAAAACACGACAGAGGAGAGAACCAAAGCUUAUCUUCAAACCAUGUCAAAUCUGCCAUUGGACAUGAUCGCUGAAAUCCUCUGCCGGCUACCCGUCAAGAAACUUCUAUGCUGCAGGUGCGUAUCCAAAACAUGGCAUGCCUUAAUAGAUGGCCCAAAUUUCAUCAAUUUACAUCUCCAGCACUCUAUAGCAACCACCUCUAAUAAAAACGUUAUCCUCAAGAAUUCAGACCUUUACUCCAUAGGUUUCGAUCAACUGAAUAACUUUAAGCAACUUGACCAUCCUUUGAUGUGUUACAAUCAUAGCAUCAGAGUCUUGGGUUCUUGUAAUGGGUUGCUUUGCAUUUGCAAUGUUGUGGACGACAUUGCUCUGUGGAAUCCAUCUAUUAGAAAGUACAUCGUUUUACCCUUUUUGCCGAUUGAGCUCAAACGCUAUCUCGGGACAUGCACCUGCAGGGUAUGUGCUUUUGGACUUGGGCAUGAUCCCGUUAAUGAUGAUUAUAAGGUGGUUAGGAUUGCACAGUUUGGUGGAGUCAAUGGAAAAAUUUUUGAGUCUGAGGUUAAGGUUUACAGUUUGAGAAGAAAUUCUUGGAGAAGGAUUGGAGAUAUGCCUUAUUGUGUUCUUUAUCCUGGGGCGAAUGGGGUGUUUGCUUGUGGAGCUUUGCAUUGGCUAGUGAGCCAAGGUCCUGAAUCAAAUGUGGCCAAUAUAAUUGUUGCUUUGGAUUUAGGGGUUGAGGAUUAUAGGGAGGUGCCGCAGCCUGAAUUUAGGGAUAAGAAUUUUAACAGGGAUAUUGGGGUUCUUGGAGGAUGCCUAUGUUUGCUUGCAAAUUUUCAAGGCCAGCGUGUUGAUUUGUGGGUGAUGAAGGAGUACGGGAUGAAGGAAUCUUGGACUAAAUUAUUUUCUGUUGCACAGCAAGAAGGUAUUGGGAUUCUUAGAUCUCUUAAACCUCUAGCUUAUUCAAAGAGUGGCAGUGAAGUUCUUAUGGAGCAUGGCAACUUAAACCUUUUACGGUAUGACCUUAGGAGGAAAGAAGUAAGGAACAUUAGGAUUCAGGAUAUGCCAUUAACAUUUGAAGCAGAAAUUUAUGUUGGAAGCCUCGUUCCAGUUAAUCCAAAUAGACCGCUUAAAGGGAGGAGUCGGCAUGAACACAAGGAGAUAAAAGAUAGGAAGAGGAGAGAUGAUUUCUUGUCCGAGGGUUUCAAAUUGGUCCUGUAAACCGAUCUAUGAAGAGCAAGAGAAAGAGCUGAAAGAGGGCUGAAACUGGUGGACAAGGAUGUACGUAGUUGAGCAUAUGAAUUAUUCUGAAGAUAGGAGCAUAUGGAUAAAAGCUUAACCUGCUCUGCUACUUGCAUUGGUGGUUAAGUCGCAUAAUUGCCAUCUAGCAUGGGUUCAAUUAUUAGUAUGGGAGAACAGAAAGCAAGAGUGCUGGAGGAGUACUUUUGUUGGUGGUGAUCAAAUGAUACAAGCGUGGUUGAGAGUUCUUGAUGACAUAAACAUAAAUUAGUUGAUGUUUGCUGUAUUUUGCAGAGUGUUGGCUAAAUCCAUGCUAUGGAUAUAGCUGUGGAUGAUACAGGUGCUACGAUUGCAGAGGAUUGUGUUUGUUUUGCAAGGUUAGCUACUUGAUGUGACAAGUGAUGUAGAUUUCCCGUAAAUUAACACUUAUGAGUCAAUUUCAUGAAAUGUAAUUACUAGAAUAUUUCACGCUAAGUAGAGAUAACAAUGUCAUAUUUUCUUGGUUUGCUGAAAGUGUUAGGAUAAUGGUGUUGAAUGGGAAUCCCACUUGGGUAAGGAUUAUGAUUU
This is an RNA transcript of Hevea brasiliensis (rubber tree), 1858 nucleotides long. It is a transcript of the gene named F-box protein CPR1, with no coding region annotated. The record is from RefSeq and is a predicted model, not a curated record. Lineage: Eukaryota; Viridiplantae; Streptophyta; Magnoliopsida; Malpighiales; Euphorbiaceae. The transcript is spliced from 5 exons.